Molecule: ribosomal RNA, 466 nt
Filed under: uncultured bacterium
Lineage: Bacteria
Description: bacterial SSU rRNA
Rfam family: Bacterial small subunit ribosomal RNA
Source: RNAcentral
GACGAACGCUGGCGGCGUGCUUAACACAUGCAAGUCGAACGGAGUUAUAAGAGAAGUUUACUUUUCCUAUAACUUAGUGGCGGACGGGUGAGUAACGCGUGGAUAACCUGCCCUACAGACUGGGAUAACGCCGGGAAACCGGUGCUAAUACCGGAUACGUUCAUUUCCUCGCCUGUGGAGAUGAAGAAAGGAUAGAGCCGCUGUAGGAUGGGUCCGCGUCCCAUUAGCCUGUUGGUGGGGUAACGGCCUACCAAAGCUACGAUGGGUAGCCGGCCUGAGAGGGCGAUCGGCCACACUGGAACUGAGACACGGUCCAGACUCCUACGGGAGGCAGCAGUGGGGAAUCUUCCGCAAUGGGCGCAAGCCUGACGGAGCAACGCCGCGUGAGUGAAGAAGGUUUUCGGAUUGUAAAACUCUGUCCAUGGGGAAGAAGUAAGUGACGGUACCCGUGGAGGAAGCCCCGGCU